This 315-nucleotide ribosomal RNA is filed under the name uncultured bacterium. RNAcentral's name for it is "bacterial SSU rRNA". It matches the Rfam family "Bacterial small subunit ribosomal RNA", at positions 28 to 342 of the family's 1533-position model. The record is from RNAcentral.
GACGAACGCUGGCGGCGUGCUUAACACAUGCAAGUCGAGCGGUAAGGCCCUUUCGGGGGUACACGAGCGGCGAACGGGUGAGUAACACGUGGGUGACCUGCCCUCAGCUCUGGGAUAAGCCGUAGGGAAACCGGGUCUAAUACUGGAUAUGACUCCAUGACGCAUGUUGUGGGGUGGAAAGCCUUGUGCGGCUGAGGAUGGGCCCGCGGCCUAUCAGCUUGUUGGUGGGGUGANGGCCUACCAAGGCGACGACGGGUAGCCGGCCUGAGAGGGCGACCGGCCACACUGGGACUGAGACACGGCCCAGACUCCUAC